This 69-nucleotide transfer RNA is filed under the name Marmota monax (woodchuck). RNAcentral describes it as "tRNA.Ala". The record is from RNAcentral. Lineage: Eukaryota; Metazoa; Chordata; Mammalia; Rodentia; Sciuridae.
GUUGUAGAUCAGUGGUAGAGUGCUUGCCUUGCACACGUGAGGCCCUGGGUUUCAAUCCUCAGCCCAACA